AUCACGUAGGAUUAACAGCAGAAGGAACCUAGUCCUCAAAGUUAAUGAAAAUACUGCUGGUGAAGGUCAGGAAGGCAUGUUCAGAACUACAGCAUGGUCUCUGUAAAUAAAGCCCUGGCCCACAGCACACUUACUGUGCCACUCCUCAUCCCUGCAGACCAAGUGUCUCUGAUGAAGACUUACUUUAAUUGUUCCAUGUCUGCUGAUGUGUUUAAUUAAAGGCUUACGUGGCUACAUCUUUGGUGACAAAAUGUGAGGUGAUCACAAGCAUGAAUAAGUGCCCAUUCCCCUGGGAGCCCUGGAGAUAUGUUAGAUGCCAAAAGCUGCAUAUUUGAAACUGGUCCUAUAGUAGAGCAAGUAAAUAUUAUCAAUAUUUGGGAAGGAUUCCUUGACCAAAUAAGGACUUUAAAAACUAGAAAGAGAAGAGAGAGCCUGCAGGAUAUGAAGAUAUUGAUGAGGAUGAUAAGCAGUGUGUUACAGAUUAGAAGAUGAAAGGAGAAGGAGCAGUGAGCGAGUCCCAUGGUGGCUGCUGCAGUAAAGGUGACCACAUCCCUCAGAGCCUCUGCAUCAG
This is a non-coding RNA of Meleagris gallopavo (turkey), 571 nucleotides long. NCBI's taxonomy places the organism in Eukaryota, Metazoa, Chordata, Aves, Galliformes, Phasianidae. The record is from RefSeq and is a predicted model, not a curated record.